UAGAAACUACAUUUAAUGUUUGAUUAAAAAAACCUGUUUAUUCUAUAGGAAACUAGUUUGAAUAAUUUUUGAAUUCUUCCUUCCCUUCGUGCAUUUUUUUUAAAGUUAAAGAUGGUCAAAAACGUGCAAGUUUGUUAGACAACAUUUGAAUUUCAGAAUAAAGUAGCAGCCCCUCCUUUCUAUGAUGUCCGGACCACCACGGACAGAGCCGAAGCUCACCGAACCAACACUACUGUCUACUGAGUCUGCGUCACUCUGGUGGUGAGCAGCAAAGAUUAUAGCUACCUUUUCUAAAACAAAAUGAAAGUUUUCGAACAGUUGGAAUUCAUCAACAUGGACGUUAGGAUGGCUGGACCGUCACGUUAACAGGAAACUCCUGGGAAACGCCCGCUUUUUAUCGUGCUUGCUAUUUCCAACACACAGUAAGUUAGCAGAGGCUGCUUGGCUAGCUAACGCUGAGAAAAGUUGGUGGUGCAUUUAAGAAGAAAAUGGCAUUUGACUGACCUGUGCGGAUGCUGCUGAAGUAGAAAAGUCUGGAUUUAAUAUUCCUUAU
This 553-nucleotide long non-coding RNA is filed under the name Oryzias sinensis (Chinese medaka). Its description in RNAcentral is "lncRNA (ENSOSIG00000001186.1)". The record is from RNAcentral. Lineage: Eukaryota; Metazoa; Chordata; Actinopteri; Beloniformes; Adrianichthyidae.